UACGUAGGGGGCAAGCGUUAUCCGGAUUUACUGGGUGUAAAGGGAGCGUAGACGGCCAGACAAGUCAGAAGUGAAAGCCCAGGGCUCAACCCUGGAACUGCAUUUGAAACUGUAGUUCUUGAGUGAUGGAGAGGCAGGCGGAAUUCCGUGUGUAGCGGUGAAAUGCGUAGAUAUACGGAGGAACACCAGUGGCGAAGGCGGCCUGCUGGACAUUAACUGACGCUGAGGCGCGAAAGCGUGGGGAGCAAACAGG
RNAcentral lists this ribosomal RNA (253 nucleotides) under uncultured Oscillospira sp. Its description in RNAcentral is "partial 16S ribosomal RNA". It matches the Rfam family "Bacterial small subunit ribosomal RNA", at positions 524 to 776 of the family's 1533-position model. The record is from RNAcentral. Lineage: Bacteria; Bacillati; Bacillota; Clostridia; Eubacteriales; Oscillospiraceae.